This 492-nucleotide ribosomal RNA is filed under the name uncultured bacterium. Its description in RNAcentral is "partial 16S ribosomal RNA". It matches the Rfam family "Bacterial small subunit ribosomal RNA", at positions 28 to 507 of the family's 1533-position model. The record is from RNAcentral.
GAUGAACGCUAGCUACAGGCUUAACACAUGCAAGUCGAGGGGAAACGACAUCGAAAGCUUGCUUUUGAUGGGCGUCGACCGGCGCACGGGUGAGUAACGCGUAUCCAACCUGCCCAUCACUUGGGAAUAACCUUGCGAAAGUAAGACUAAUACCCAAUGACAUCCCACGAAGACAUCUGAAUGGGAUUAAAGAUUUAUCGGUGAUAGAUGGGGAUGCGUCUGAUUAGCUUGUUGGCGGGGUAACGGCCCACCAAGGCAACGAUCAGUAGGGGUUCUGAGGGGCAGGCACCCCAGAUCGGAGCUGCGACACAGUCCACAAUGCUACGGGAGGGAGGAGUAUGUAAUAUUAGUCAAUGGACGAGAGCCUGAACCAGCCAAGUAGCGUGAAGGAGGACGCGGCUAUGAGUUGUAAACUGCUUUUAUAAGAGAAUAGAGUGGGUCUCGUGAGACUUUUUGAAUGUACCUUAUGAAUAAGCACCGGCUAAUUCCGUG